This 2902-nucleotide ribosomal RNA is filed under the name Escherichia coli HVH 95 (4-6074464). RNAcentral describes it as "bacterial LSU rRNA". It matches the Rfam family "Bacterial large subunit ribosomal RNA". Lineage: Bacteria; Pseudomonadati; Pseudomonadota; Gammaproteobacteria; Enterobacterales; Enterobacteriaceae. The record is from RNAcentral.
UUAAGCGACUAAGCGUACACGGUGGAUGCCCUGGCAGUCAGAGGCGAUGAAGGACGUGCUAAUCUGCGAUAAGCGUCGGUGAGGUGAUAUGAACCGUUAUAACCGGCGAUUUCCGAAUGGGGAAACCCAGUGUGUUUCGACACACUAUCAUUAACUGAAUCCAUAGGUUAAUGAGGCGAACCGGGGGAACUGAAACAUCUAAGUACCCCGAGGAAAAGAAAUCAACCGAGAUUCCCCCAGUAGCGGCGAGCGAACGGGGAGGAGCCCAGAGCCUGAAUCAGUGUGUGUGUUAGUGGAAGCGUCUGGAAAGGCGUGCGAUACAGGGUGACAGCCUCGUACACAAAAAUGCACAUAUUGUGAGCUCGAUGAGUAGGGCGGGACACGUGGUAUCCUGUCUGAAUAUGGGGGGACCAUCCUCCAAGGCUAAAUACUCCUGACUGACCGAUAGUGAACCAGUACCGUGAGGGAAAGGCGAAAAGAACCCCGGCGAGGGGAGUGAAAAAGAACCUGAAACCGUGUACGUACAAGCAGUGGGAGCCUCUUAAUGGGGUGACUGCGUACCUUUUGUAUAAUGGGUCAGCGACUUAUAUUCUGUAGCAAGGUUAACCGAAUAGGGGAGCCGAAGGGAAACCGAGUCUUAACUGGGCGUUAAGUUGCAGGGUAUAGACCCGAAACCCGGUGAUCUAGCCAUGGGCAGGUUGAAGGUUGGGUAACACUAACUGGAGGACCGAACCGACUAAUGUUGAAAAAUUAGCGGAUGACUUGUGGCUGGGGGUGAAAGGCCAAUCAAACCGGGAGAUAGCUGGUUCUCCCCGAAAGCUAUUUAGGUAGCGCCUCGUGAAUUCAUCUCCGGGGGUAGAGCACUGUUUCGGCAAGGGGGUCAUCCCGACUUACCAACCCGAUGCAAACUGCGAAUACCGGAGAAUGUUAUCACGGGAGACACACGGCGGGUGCUAACGUCCGUCGUGAAGAGGGAAACAACCCAGACCGCCAGCUAAGGUCCCAAAGUCAUGGUUAAGUGGGAAACGAUGUGGGAAGGCCCAGACAGCCAGGAUGUUGGCUUAGAAGCAGCCAUCAUUUAAAGAAAGCGUAAUAGCUCACUGGUCGAGUCGGCCUGCGCGGAAGAUGUAACGGGGCUAAACCAUGCACCGAAGCUGCGGCAGCGACACUAUGUGUUGUUGGGUAGGGGAGCGUUCUGUAAGCCUGUGAAGGUGGCCUGUGAGGGUUGCUGGAGGUAUCAGAAGUGCGAAUGCUGACAUAAGUAACGAUAAAGCGGGUGAAAAGCCCGCUCGCCGGAAGACCAAGGGUUCCUGUCCAACGUUAAUCGGGGCAGGGUGAGUCGACCCCUAAGGCGAGGCCGAAAGGCGUAGUCGAUGGGAAACAGGUUAAUAUUCCUGUACUUGGUGUUACUGCGAAGGGGGGACGGAGAAGGCUAUGUUGGCCGGGCGACGGUUGUCCCGGUUUAAGCGUGUAGGCUGGUUUUCCAGGCAAAUCCGGAAAACCAAGGCUGAGGCGUGAUGACGAGGCACUACGGUGCUGAAGCGACAAAUGCCCUGCUUCCAGGAAAAGCCUCUAAGCAUCAGGUAACAUCAAAUCGUACCCCAAACCGACACAGGUGGUCAGGUAGAGAAUACCAAGGCGCUUGAGAGAACUCGGGUGAAGGAACUAGGCAAAAUGGUGCCGUAACUUCGGGAGAAGGCACGCUGAUAUGUAGGUGAAGCGACUUGCUCGUGGAGCUGAAAUCAGUCGAAGAUACCAGCUGGCUGCAACUGUUUAUUAAAAACACAGCACUGUGCAAACACGAAAGUGGACGUAUACGGUGUGACGCCUGCCCGGUGCCGGAAGGUUAAUUGAUGGGGUUAGCGGUAACGCGAAGCUCUUGAUCGAAGCCCCGGUAAACGGCGGCCGUAACUAUAACGGUCCUAAGGUAGCGAAAUUCCUUGUCGGGUAAGUUCCGACCUGCACGAAUGGCGUAAUGAUGGCCAGGCUGUCUCCACCCGAGACUCAGUGAAAUUGAACUCGCUGUGAAGAUGCAGUGUACCCGCAGCAAGACGGAAAGACCCCGUGAACCUUUACUAUAGCUUGACACUGAACAUUGAGCCUUGAUGUGUAGGAUAGGUGGGAGGCUUUGAAGUGUGGACGCCAGUCUGCAUGGAGCCGACCUUGAAAUACCACCCUUUAAUGUUUGAUGUUCUAACGUUGGCCCGUAAUCCGGGUUGCGGACAGUGUCUGGUGGGUAGUUUGACUGGGGCGGUCUCCUCCUAAAGAGUAACGGAGGAGCACGAAGGUUGGCUAAUCCUGGUCGGACAUCAGGAGGUUAGUGCAAUGGCAUAAGCCAGCUUGACUGCGAGCGUGACGGCGCGAGCAGGUGCGAAAGCAGGUCAUAGUGAUCCGGUGGUUCUGAAUGGAAGGGCCAUCGCUCAACGGAUAAAAGGUACUCCGGGGAUAACAGGCUGAUACCGCCCAAGAGUUCAUAUCGACGGCGGUGUUUGGCACCUCGAUGUCGGCUCAUCACAUCCUGGGGCUGAAGUAGGUCCCAAGGGUAUGGCUGUUCGCCAUUUAAAGUGGUACGCGAGCUGGGUUUAGAACGUCGUGAGACAGUUCGGUCCCUAUCUGCCGUGGGCGCUGGAGAACUGAGGGGGGCUGCUCCUAGUACGAGAGGACCGGAGUGGACGCAUCACUGGUGUUCGGGUUGUCAUGCCAAUGGCACUGCCCGGUAGCUAAAUGCGGAAGAGAUAAGUGCUGAAAGCAUCUAAGCACGAAACUUGCCCCGAGAUGAGUUCUCCCUGACUCCUUGAGAGUCCUGAAGGAACGUUGAAGACGACGACGUUGAUAGGCCGGGUGUGUAAGCGCAGCGAUGCGUUGAGCUAACCGGUACUAAUGAACCGUGAGGCUUAACCUU